This 830-nucleotide ribosomal RNA is filed under the name uncultured bacterium. Its description in RNAcentral is "bacterial SSU rRNA". It matches the Rfam family "Bacterial small subunit ribosomal RNA", at positions 550 to 1381 of the family's 1533-position model. The record is from RNAcentral.
UUUAUUGGGCGUAAAGCGAGCGCAGGCGGUUAGAUAAGUCUGAAGUUAAAGGCAGUGGCUCAACCAUUGUAGGCUUUGGAAACUGUUUAACUUGAGUGCAGAAGGGGAGAGUGGAAUUCCAUGUGUAGCGGUGAAAUGCGUAGAUAUAUGGAGGAACACCGGUGGCGAAAGCGGCUCUCUGGUCUGUAACUGACGCUGAGGCUCGAAAGCGUGGGGAGCGAACAGGAUUAGAUACCCUGGUAGUCCACGCCGUAAACGAUGAGUGCUAGGUGUUAGGUCCUUUCCGGGACUUAGUGCCGCAGCUAACGCAUUAAGCACUCCGCCUGGGGAGUACGACCGCAAGGUUGAAACUCAAAGGAAUUGACGGGGGCCCGCACAAGCGGUGGAGCAUGUGGUUUAAUUCGAAGCAACGCGAAGAACCUUACCAGGUCUUGACAUCCCGAUGCCCGCUCUAGAGAUAGAGCUUUACUUCGGUACAUCGGUGACAGGUGGUGCAUGGUUGUCGUCAGCUCGUGUCGUGAGAUGUUGGGUUNNNNNNCGCAACGAGCGCAACCCUUAUUGUUAGUUGCCAUCAUUCAGUUGGGCACUCUAGCGAGACUGCCGGUAAUAAACCGGAGGAAGGUGGGGAUGACGUCAAAUCAUCAUGCCCCUUAUGACCUGGGCUACACACGUGCUACAAUGGCUGGUACAACGAGUCGCAAGCCGGUGACGGCAAGCUAAUCUCUGAAAGCCAGUCUCAGUUCGGAUUGUAGGCUGCAACUCGCCUACAUGAAGUCGGAAUCGCUAGUAAUCGCGGAUCAGCACGCCGCGGUGAAUACGUUCCCGGGCCU